UACAGAGGUCCCAAGCGUUGUUCGGAUUCACUGGGCGUAAAGGGUGCGUAGGUGGCGAGGUAAGUCGGAUGUGAAAGCUCGGAGCUCAACUCCGAAAUGGCAUUGGAAACUACCUUGCUCGAGGGUUGGAGGGGGGACUGGAAUUCUCGGUGUAGCAGUGAAAUGCGUAGAUAUCGAGAGGAACACCAGUAGCGAAGGCGGCACUCUGGGCCGGUACUGACGCUGAGGAGCGAAAGCGUGGGGAGCGAACAGG
Molecule: ribosomal RNA, 253 nt
Filed under: uncultured bacterium
Lineage: Bacteria
Description: partial 16S ribosomal RNA
Rfam family: Bacterial small subunit ribosomal RNA
Source: RNAcentral